RNAcentral lists this ribosomal RNA (455 nucleotides) under Escherichia coli. Its description in RNAcentral is "partial 23S ribosomal RNA". It matches the Rfam family "Bacterial large subunit ribosomal RNA", at positions 1292 to 1749 of the family's 2925-position model. RNAcentral also lists the same sequence under 1 other name. Lineage: Bacteria; Pseudomonadati; Pseudomonadota; Gammaproteobacteria; Enterobacterales; Enterobacteriaceae. The record is from RNAcentral.
GAAUGCUGACAUAAGUAACGAUAAAGCGGGUGAAAAGCCCGCUCGCCGGAAGACCAAGGGUUCCUGUCCAACGUUAAUCGGGGCAGGGUGAGUCGACCCCUAAGGCGAGGCCGAAAGGCGUAGUCGAUGGGAAACAGGUUAAUAUUCCUGUACUUGGUGUUACUGCGAAGGGGGGACGGAGAAGGCUAUGUUGGCCGGGCGACGGUUGUCCCGGUUUAAGCGUGUAGGCUGGUUUUCCAGGCAAAUCCGGAAAAUCAAGGCUGAGGCGUGAUGACGAGGCACUACGGUGCUGAAGCGACAAAUGCCCUGCUUCCAGGAAAAGCCUCUAAGCAUCAGGUAACAUCAAAUCGUACCCCAAACCGACACAGGUGGUCAGGUAGAGAAUACCAAGGCGCUUGAGAGAACUCGGGUGAAGGAACUAGGCAAAAUGGUGCCGUAACUUCGGGAGAAGGCAC